UAAAGCUUUGUAAAAGAUGCGGCUCAGCGUAGAGAGCCCUGGUCACAGUCACGGGACCGGGAGGUGUGGAAUGCAAGAAACAUUUAACUCCUUAAGGCGUGAGAUCACAAAUAAGUUAUUAGAAUGUUCUUAACUGGGCAUUCUAAGGCUGAUUUAACAAUCACCACUGGUAAUUGAAAGCAGAGUUUUAGAAUACCGACUUAUAAUUGCUACCAAUAACAGCUACCAAGCGACUUUGGUGGAUAAAGUCGUUGAAGGUACAAUUGGCUGGCAGACAGAAAGUCCAGCUGUGCAGACUGGCUGAUCCUCAUGUUAUCUGGAGGGUCUCACUGCAAGUACAGUACUGCAUCAUGAGAACCAGUGCCAAUUUCAGCAGAUACAGUGUGGCAUCAUGGGAACCAGCGCCAAUUUCAACGGGUACAGUGCUGCAUCAUGGGAAUCAGUGCCAAUUCAGGGGCAGAGUGAUGGCCAAUCUGUUCUGGAAUUUCAUGACUACUCUUUAUAAUUCCACUCACACAUAACAACAAUCUCUGUGGGUUGCACUCCAAACUCCAAACUUUGGUAAUUGUGCCACAAGCCAGGAGGCAGAACAGGGGCAACAGCAGGGCAUUCUGCAAACAGGGUUACAAGCGGAGCAUGUUGCCAUGGGUUCCAGCUACACUAAGAUCAGUAACGGAUUGCGGAAACUCGAUGGCAUCUGUUGUGCGUGGCCCUCUCACCCCUGUGCAUUUCAGAUUCCCGAGACUCAUGCAUGACAUCUGCUUCCUCCUUUCAGAUUGGAUCCCUGAUGAUUUAAUCAUCCUGUACACCACACUUCAAAAGAUCUCUCUCCAUAGCUUUAAUUCCAUAAACAUUUGGACCAAAAGAAAAAGGCCAUGAUGCACAUAACACACAAAUGUGCUAAAAUUGGUGGUUGACAGCUCUCAAAAUUAAAAGACACUAGCGGCAUGUUGGUUUGGAAGCUGGCUAGCUGCACUGACAUUCCUUAUAUGCAAGAUGGUUUGAGGUUUAUGUGAGUUUAGCGGUGUUGCAAUUUGAAUAAUUCAGUCCCUGGAAAAUCCCACAUGAUUUCAGCAUGAAAGGAGCCCUUUCACAUCUGGGGACACUGGAAUAAAAAGACACAAUGCGGCAAUGUCCCCUCCCCCCAUGCGAACUCUAGUGUUUGAGUCCAGGCGGUUUCGUUCGGGUUAUUCUGCGUUCUGAUUCUGUUCUGUUUAGCGGUUCCAGACGUGACAGUUCCUCUUCAGCAGAAUCUGAUUCAGUCACUCUGCCACCCGACCCACAGUUUUUCCCACGGUGCGCAGGAACUGCCGCCGUGGGCUACGCAUGGCAAAUUGUGGUCACUCACUCACUCACUCAAGACCUUUCAGGGACGUUUUUGUGGGACGCAUGUGCAGGUGGUACUUCGUUUAGUAGGACGCAUGCGCAGGUGGUGCCAGCUAAAAUGCGUCUGCGGAAGUGAGUUGCGCCGUGGGUCUGGACGGUUACGUUCUUGUUUAUUUCUAUUUCCGUAUUGGGCCCCUUUCUAUUGCACGGUUUGUUUGGCCAUUUUUUCUGAUUCGUCUAUAGCCCUUUUCUCUAAACAAGUUCACACUUAUGAGAACACGGCCGCCCCUAUUAUGUGCUCGACCUUGAUUAGUCGCUCAGACGCACCCUUUGCUGAAGUCUCGGAUGAAAGACUACUAAAUCACUCUGUUCAGUGUCUCUUAAACAAUGUUUUUGCUCAGACUCAGUAAGUAAGCUGCACACAUCUGUCUAUAAAUGUGUCCUAAAAGCCCACUCCAAAUCCACACUUUUUCCUUUUACUGUUGGGAACUUUCAGUUUUGGUUCUGGGGUCACUGGUGUUCCUCCAGCACCCCCAAAAGUUUACUGUUCCUGAACUGCAUUCACUUCUCUAAUAGGUUAACAGCAAACCAGUGACUGUUUUACAUGGCAUAGACAAAAUCAGCGCCUUCAGUCACAUCCAGCUAAUUGCAAAGCUGAGGGUUGAAUCUAUUACUGUUUGUAUGACUGAGUUUUGUGUUUCAUUUGGAUUUAUUGGUAAAAAAAAAAAAUGAACAGAGCAGUGUUAUUGGGCGGGGUCUGGAUGGGUCUUUAUUAGAUCAUCUUUAAACCACUUUAUCACCUGUUUGGCUUUACCUGCUGCUGUGGCUGGCUGCAGGUGCAGACUGCGUCAGAAAUGCAGUGCAGAGUCUGAGAAGCUAGAGGGCGCUAGUGUUCAGUGACCUCCAUUUGGGUUGAUAUUUAGGGAGGAGGAAACUGAGAAGUUCAUUAACAAAUCACAAAAAAUCUUUUUGAGAGCUCUUCUUCUUCAGUAACUCGAUGUAAAUUUCAAUUUUCUGUAUUCACGGGGAUGCUGUACGUUAUUUCAUGAUAUUUGUUUGCACACACACAAUAUUGUGCAUGUGUCCUUCGUGGAGAGCAAUAUGAUAUUCAGGGAAAUUUAAAAAAUAAAUCCAAGAUCUAAUUCACUUUUUAAUCAAAUUUUGCGAGAAAAGUACUGCCUAGAACAUGAAGUUCUUUAAACCCUUUUUAUGUAAACAGCA
Anguilla rostrata (American eel) is the source of this 2547-nucleotide long non-coding RNA. RefSeq lists it as uncharacterized. The transcript has 3 exons. NCBI's taxonomy places the organism in Eukaryota, Metazoa, Chordata, Actinopteri, Anguilliformes, Anguillidae. The record is from RefSeq and is a predicted model, not a curated record.